Molecule: non-coding RNA, 1113 nt
Organism: Cicer arietinum (chickpea)
Lineage: Eukaryota; Viridiplantae; Streptophyta; Magnoliopsida; Fabales; Fabaceae
Source: RefSeq, a predicted model, not a curated record
UUGACGAAGAGAUUAUUUACAUGAUAUUUUUAUGUUUAAUUCAAAAAAUAAAAGAAUACAAAUUCAAAGGAGCAGAAGAGCACAUCCACUCAAUUACUUGCAUCUUUUUGUCACUCAAUUGUGGAUAUGAAAAUUAACCAGCUUCUUGCUACAUCACCUCACAAACACCCAAUCCAGUUCCUCUAGCGCUGCUGUGGAAACCAAAAGUGUCAUGUAUUGCUGGGCAAAAUGGGGAGUAACAUACAUGGACCAUGUUUCCAUGCAAAUCAGUGGUCGAAGCCUAACUUGAUCUCCCUAGAAAGAUUCAAAGGAUAAUGCCAAAAGAAAUGCAAAUUACAUUCACUACCAUCCAGGGUUGGCCCGACAAGUUGUCAAAGUCUCAUGACUUUAUUUCAAUUACUAGCAAGCAAGAUCUUUGUAGCACCACUUUAAAAGGCCAUGGAAAUUACAAAUGUAUUAUCUACAUUCUAGUUGUAACACUUGACAGUAAUUACCUGAAGAGGGUUCAUAGAACCUUUGAAUAAGAGAAAUGAUUGUGCUUUUUCCAGAACCACUUGGACCAACAACUGCUACUGUCUUUCCAGCAUUCACUGAGAAGCUCAAAUUUUCAAAGAUCAUAUUGCUUCUUGAAGGGUAAGCAAAGCAAACCUCACAAAAAUCAAUUUUCCCUGCUACUUGUGGCAACACAGUGCCAUCAUCCAACCUUUUAGAUGAUUCUGAAACAGAUGCAAUCAUGUUCAUGAUAUUCGCCGCAGCUGCACGCCCUUUCGCAAUUGAACCAAGGUUUGGAGCAGCUUGACCAAGAGCACUAUUAUAAAAUGGAGCUACUAUAUUAGUUAAGCCAUUACUUAAACCUAAUUCAUUCAUUUGCUCAUGCAUAGUUUUAAUAUUCAUAGUAUUUUUAGCAUGCAUCUGUCUCUAGAUUGAUGCAUUAAAAGUAAUUGGCAGUGUUAGUUUUAAGAAAUUAAAUUAAAUUCAAUGUGUUGCAUCACAUCUUAUCUACCUAUGAAUAUAGAUAUAUUAGUGCACUCCACAUGCAUUUUGAAUGUAUACUUCUAAACUAAUAUAAAUAUAUGUAUUAGUUUUGAUGGACUUACAAUCCACUAAAGAUGA